RNAcentral lists this ribosomal RNA (493 nucleotides) under uncultured bacterium. RNAcentral's name for it is "partial 16S ribosomal RNA". It matches the Rfam family "Bacterial small subunit ribosomal RNA", at positions 30 to 523 of the family's 1533-position model. The record is from RNAcentral.
AUUGAACGCUGGCGGCAUGCCUUACACAUGCAAGUCGAACGGUAACAGGUUAAGCUGACGAGUGGCGAACGGGUGAGUAAUACAUCGGAACGUGCCCAGUAGUGGGGGAUAGCCCGGCGAAAGCCGGAUUAAUACCGCAUACGACCUACGGGGGAAAGGGGGGGAUCGCAAGACCUCUCGCUAUUGGAGCGGCCGAUGUCAGAUUAGGUAGUUGGUGGGGUAAAAGACUACCAAGCCGACGAUCUGUAGCUGGUCUGAGAGGACGACCAGCCACACUGGGACUGAGACACGGCCCAGACUCCUACGGGAGGCAGCAGUGGGGAAUUUUGGACAAUGGGCGCAAGCCUGAUCCAGCCAUGCCGCGUGCGGGAAGAAGGCCUUCGGGUUGUAAACCGCUUUUGUCAGGGAAGAAACGCUCUGGGUUAAUACCCUGGGGUAAUGACGGUACCUGAAGAAUAAGCACCGGCUAACUACGUGCCAGCCGCCGCCGUAA